CCGCAAUGUCAAUGCCUAUGGGCAGAAGGAAGAGGGGCCAAGCCACUGGCAAGAGAGGAAGGAAGCCAAGAGGAAGAUGUAUCUGAUGAGCACGGAGCAGCCUGUGAGGCUAGGUGUGAGGCCAAAUGCCGUACCAACUUCUUCCUCUGGUCGCCAAUGUCAGAAGUGCUUCCAGCCCGGGCACUGGACGUAUGA
Molecule: ribosomal RNA, 195 nt
Filed under: Triticum aestivum (bread wheat)
Lineage: Eukaryota; Viridiplantae; Streptophyta; Magnoliopsida; Poales; Poaceae
Description: partial small subunit ribosomal RNA
Source: RNAcentral